GGUCUGUGGUGCGAGAUGCUGGAAAGGAGUCUUCGGCCGCUGCUCAGCCCUGCCCCUUUAUAACACUCCAUGAAGAUGUCCUGUGUACAUUCUGCUGGAUUUUGCGAUCUACUUUUGACAUUUCCCCACACCAUGAAGCAAGAGGAAGUCUUUAAAGAUACCAAGAGGACACCCCUCUUCUCCCACAUUGAAAACCCCACUUAUGAAGAGUCAAAGCUAAGUUGUCAAGGAAUGUUUCAGCUUGGCCAGUUUUCUCUUUAAAUUUGAUGCGGAGAGGUCCAUGAUAAUCUUUGCUUUGGUGGCACUAAGCUUGAAGCCAGAUCACAGAGCCUCUAUCACAGAUGCUCAUACAUCUCCUACCUGGUUUGCAUCUGUGAUUCUCCAGCCUAGCUUGAUGUUAGAAUCAUCUGGAGGGAACUUUUAAAAUGACCGGAGCCAAGGGCCCACAUGGAGACUUUGAUUCUACUGGAAUAGGACAAGAACCCCAUAAUCCAGCCAGACUUCACAAUCACAAAGUUGCAGUGAUAACUUC
Long non-coding RNA from Suricata suricatta (meerkat), 532 nucleotides. RefSeq lists it as uncharacterized. The transcript has 3 exons. NCBI's taxonomy places the organism in Eukaryota, Metazoa, Chordata, Mammalia, Carnivora, Herpestidae. The record is from RefSeq and is a predicted model, not a curated record.